GAUGAACGCUGGCGGCGUGCCUAAUACAUGCAAGUCGAGCGAACAGACGAGGAGCUUUCUCCUCUGACGUUAGCGGCGGACGUGUGAGUAACACGUUGAUAACCUACCUAUAAGACUGGGAUAACUUCGUGAAACCGGAGCUACUACCGGAUAAUAUAUUGAACCGCAUGGUUCAAUAGUGAAAGACGGUUUUGCUUUCGUUUAUAGAUGGUUCCGCGCCGCAUUAGCUAGUUGGUAAGGUAACGGCUUACCAAGGCGACGAUGCGUAGCCGACCUGAGAGGGUGAUCGGCCACACCGGAACUGAGACACGGUACAGACUCCUACGGGAGGCAGCAGUAGGGAAUCUUCCGCAAUGGGCGAAAGCCUGACGGGGCAACGCCGCGUGAGUGAUGAAGGUAUUCGGAUCGUGAAACUAUGUUAUUAGGGAAGAACAAAUGUGUAAGUAACUAUGAACGUCUUGACGGUACCUAAUCAGAAAGCCACGGCUAACUACGUG
This 497-nucleotide ribosomal RNA is filed under the name uncultured bacterium. Its description in RNAcentral is "partial 16S ribosomal RNA". It matches the Rfam family "Bacterial small subunit ribosomal RNA", at positions 28 to 507 of the family's 1533-position model. The record is from RNAcentral.